ACGCUGGCGGCGUGCCUAAUACAUGCAAGUCGAGCGAACAGAUGAGAAGCUUGCUUCUCUGAUGUUAGCGGCGGACGGGUGAGUAACACGUGGGUAACCUACCUAUAAGACUGGGAUAACUCCGGGAAACCGGGGCUAAUACCGGAUAAUAUUUUGAACCGCAUGGUUCAAUAGUGAAAGACGGUUUCGGCUGUCACUUAUAGAUGGACCCGCGCCGUAUUAGCUAGUUGGUAAGGUAACGGCUUACCAAGGCGACGAUACGUAGCCGACCUGAGAGGGUGAUCGGCCACACUGGAACUGAGACACGGUCCAGACUCCUACGGGAGGCAGCAGUAGGGAAUCUUCCGCAAUGGGCGAAAGCCUGACGGAGCAACGCCGCGUGAGUGAUGAAGGUCUUCGGAUCGUAAAACUCUGUUGUUAGGGAAGAACAAAUUUGUUAGUAACUGAACAAGUCUUGACGGUACCUAACCAGAAAGCCACGGCUAACUACGUGCCAGCAGCCGCGGUAAUACGUAGGUGGCAAGCGUUAUCCGGAAUUAUUGGGCGUAAAGCGCGCGUAGGCGGUUUCUUAAGUCUGAUGUGAAAGCCCACGGCUCAACCGUGGAGGGUCAUUGGAAACUGGGRAACUUGAGUGCAGAAGAGGAGAGUGGAAUUCCAUGUGUAGCGGUGAAAUGCGCAGAGAUAUGGAGGAACACCAGUGGCGAAGGCGGCUCUCUGGUCUGUAACUGACGCUGAUGUGCGAAAGCGUGGGGAUCAAACAGGAUUAGAUACCCUGGUAGUCCACGCCGUAAACGAUGAGUGCUAAGUGUUAGGGGGUUUCCGCCCCUUAGUGCUGCAGCUAACGCAUUAAGCACUCCGCCUGGGGAGUACGACCGCAAGGUUGAAACUCAAAGGAAUUGACGGGGACCCGCACAAGCGGUGGAGCAUGUGGUUUAAUUCGAAGCAACGCGAAGAACCUUACCAAAUCUUGACAUCCUUUGACCGCUCUAGAGAUAGAGUCUUCCCCUUCGGGGGACAAAGUGACAGGUGGUGCAUGGUUGUCGUCAGCUCGUGUCGUGAGAUGUUGGGUUAAGUCCCGCAACGAGCGCAACCCUUAAGCUUAGUUGCCAUCAUUAAGUUGGGCACUCUAGGUUGACUGCCGGUGACAAACCGGAGGAAGGUGGGGAUGACGUCAAAUCAUCAUGCCCCUUAUGAUUUGGGCUACACACGUGCUACAAUGGAUAAUACAAAGGGCAGCGAAUCCGCGAGGCCAAGCAAAUCCCAUAAAAUUAUUCUCAGUUCGGAUUGUAGUCUGCAACUCGACUACAUGAAGCUGGAAUCGCUAGUAAUCGUAGAUCAGCAUGCUACGGUGAAUACGUUCCCGGGUCUUGUACACACCGCCCGUCACACCACGAGAGUUUGUAACACCCGAAGCCGGUGGAGUAACCUUUUAGGAGCUAGCCGUCGAAGGUGGGAC
This 1456-nucleotide ribosomal RNA is filed under the name Mammaliicoccus sciuri. RNAcentral's name for it is "Staphylococcus sciuri 16S ribosomal RNA". It matches the Rfam family "Bacterial small subunit ribosomal RNA". The record is from RNAcentral. Lineage: Bacteria; Bacillati; Bacillota; Bacilli; Caryophanales; Staphylococcaceae.